CAGUCGCCCGGUAAUACGUAGGUGGCAAGCGUUGUCCGGAAUUAUUGGGCGUAAAGGGCUCGCAGGCGGUUUCUUAAGUCUGAUGUGAAAGCCCCCGGCUCAACCGGGGAGGGUCAUUGGAAACUGGGAAACUUGAGUGCAGAAGAGGAGAGUGGAAUUCCACGUGUAGCGGUGAAAUGCGUAGAGAUGUGGAGGAACACCAGUGGCGAAGGCGACUCUCUGGUCUGUAACUGACGCUGAGGAGCGAAAGCGUGGGGAGCGAACAGGAUUAGAUACCCGCGUAGUCCCUGUCUCUUAUACC
This 301-nucleotide ribosomal RNA is filed under the name uncultured bacterium. RNAcentral's name for it is "partial 16S ribosomal RNA". It matches the Rfam family "Bacterial small subunit ribosomal RNA", at positions 509 to 808 of the family's 1533-position model. The record is from RNAcentral.